This 424-nucleotide ribosomal RNA is filed under the name Acidobacteriota bacterium. RNAcentral's name for it is "Acidobacteria bacterium partial 16S ribosomal RNA". It matches the Rfam family "Bacterial small subunit ribosomal RNA", at positions 355 to 776 of the family's 1533-position model. Lineage: Bacteria; Pseudomonadati; Acidobacteriota. The record is from RNAcentral.
UAAGGAAUAUUGGACAAUGGGCGCAAGCCUGAUCCAGCCAUGCCGCGCGAAGGAUUAAGGUCCUCUGGAUUGUAAACUUCUUUUAUAAGGGACGAAAAAAGGGAAUUCUUUCUCACUUGACGGUACCUUAUGAAUAAGCACCGGCUAACUCCGUGCCAGCAGCCGCGGUAAUACGGAGGGUGCAAGCGUUAUCCGGAUUCACUGGGUUUAAAGGGUGCGUAGGCGGGUAUUUAAGUCAGUGGUGAAAUCCUAGAGCUUAACUCUAGAACUGCCAUUGAUACUAUUUAUCUUGAAUAUUGUGGAGGUAAGCGGAAUAUGUCAUGUAGCGGUGAAAUGCUUAGAUAUGACAUAGAACACCUAUUGCGAAGGCAGCUUACUACGCAUAUAUUGACGCUGAGGCACGAAAGCGUGGGGAUCAAACAGG